RNAcentral lists this ribosomal RNA (232 nucleotides) under uncultured bacterium. RNAcentral describes it as "partial 16S ribosomal RNA". It matches the Rfam family "Bacterial small subunit ribosomal RNA", at positions 100 to 334 of the family's 1533-position model. The record is from RNAcentral.
CGGGACGGGUGAGUAAUGUCUGGGAAACUGCCUGAUGGAGGGGGGUAACUACUGGAAACGGUAGCAAUACCGCAUAACGUCGCAAGACCAAAGAGGGGGACCUUCGGGCCUCUUGCCAUCGGAUGUGCCCAGAUGGGAUUAGCUAGUAGGUGGGGUAACGGCUCACCUAGGCGACGAUCCCUAGCUGGUCUGAGAGGAUGACCAGCCACACUGGAACUGAGACACGGUCCAG